GAAUGAAGGAAAGCAUGGUAAUGUGCACUAAAAUUGAUUUGGGUCUCUAGGCCUGUCCUCACUGAUGCCUUUCAGUUUUGAUUUGGGGGCAUGAUUCCGUAGCAAAAUG
Rhododendron vialii is the source of this 109-nucleotide small nucleolar RNA. RefSeq annotates it as small nucleolar RNA snoR100. NCBI's taxonomy places the organism in Eukaryota, Viridiplantae, Streptophyta, Magnoliopsida, Ericales, Ericaceae. The transcript has a single exon. The record is from RefSeq and is a predicted model, not a curated record.